GGCGGAAUAGCUCAGUUGGCUAGAGCAUCCGGUUCAUACCCGGCAGGUCACCGGUUCAAAUCCAGUUUCCGCCACCA
Molecule: transfer RNA, 77 nt
Filed under: Clostridia bacterium
Lineage: Bacteria; Bacillati; Bacillota; Clostridia
Description: tRNA-Met
Rfam family: tRNA
About the family: Transfer RNA (tRNA) molecules are approximately 80 nucleotides in length.
Source: RNAcentral